Molecule: ribosomal RNA, 453 nt
Filed under: uncultured bacterium
Lineage: Bacteria
Description: bacterial SSU rRNA
Rfam family: Bacterial small subunit ribosomal RNA
Source: RNAcentral
UACGGGAGGCAGCAGUGGGGAAUAUUGCACAAUGGGCGCAAGCCUGAUGCAGCCAUACCGCGUGUAUGAAGAAGGCCUUCGGGUUGUAAAGUACUUUCAGUCGUGAGGAAGGUGUUAAGGUUAAUAACCUUAGCAAUUGACGUUAGCGACAGAAGAAGCACCGGCUAACUCCGUGCCAGCAGCCGCGGUAAUACGGAGGGUGCGAGCGUUAAUCGGAAUUACUGGGCGUAAAGGGCACGCAGGCGGUUAAUUAAGUUGGAUGUGAAAUCCCCGGGCUUAACCUGGGAAUGGCAUUCAAGACUGGUUAGCUAGAGUCUUGUAGAGGGGGUAGAAUUCCAUGUGUAGCGGUGAAAUGCGUAGAGAUGUGGAGGAAUACCGGUGGCGAAGGCGGCCCCUGGACAAAGACUGACGCUCAUGUGCGAAAGCGUGGGGAGCAAACAGGGAUUAGAUACC